RNAcentral lists this signal recognition particle RNA (299 nucleotides) under Aotus nancymaae (Ma's night monkey). RNAcentral describes it as "Metazoan signal recognition particle RNA (ENSANAG00000004102.1)". It matches the Rfam family "Metazoan signal recognition particle RNA". Rfam says of the family: The signal recognition particle (SRP) is a universally conserved ribonucleoprotein. It is involved in the co-translational targeting of proteins to membranes. The record is from RNAcentral. Lineage: Eukaryota; Metazoa; Chordata; Mammalia; Primates; Aotidae.
GCCGGGUGCAGUGGCUUGUGCCUGUAGUCCCAGCUACUCAGGAGGCUGAGGCUGGAGGAUUGCUUGAGUCCAGGAGUUAUGGGCUGUAGUGCGCUAUGCCGAUUGGGUUGCCACACUAAGUUCGGCAUCAAUAUGGUGACUUCCUGGGAGCGGGGGACCACCAGGUUGCCUAAGGAGUGGUGAACUGGCCCAGGUCGGAAACAGAGCAGGUCAAAACUCCCGUGCUGAUCAGUAGUGGGAUCGUGCCUGUGAAUAGCCACUGCACUCCAGCCUGGGCAAUGUAGUGAGACCCUGUCUCU